This 807-nucleotide ribosomal RNA is filed under the name uncultured bacterium. Its description in RNAcentral is "bacterial SSU rRNA". It matches the Rfam family "Bacterial small subunit ribosomal RNA", at positions 8 to 828 of the family's 1533-position model. The record is from RNAcentral.
AGAGUUUGAUCCUGGCUCAGGAUGAACGCUGGCGGCGUGCCUAACACAUGCAAGUCGAACGAAGCACUGAGACUUCGGUUUUUGUGCUUAGUGGCGGACGGGUGAGUAACGCGUGAGCAAUCUGCCUUUCAGAGGGGAAUAACAACGAGAAAUCGUUGCUAAUACCGCAUAAGCUAGUAGCAUCGCAUGAUGUAGCUAGAAAAGGAGCGAUCCGCUGAUAGAUGGGCUUGCGUCUGAUUAGCUAGUUGGUGGGGUAACGGCCUACCAAGGCGACGAUCAGUAGCCGGUCUGAGAGGAUGAACGGCCACAUUGGGACUGAGACACGGCCCAGACUCCUACGGGAGGCAGCAGUGGGGAAUAUUGCACAAUGGGGGAAACCCUGAUGCAGCGACGCCGCGUGAAGGAAGAAGUAUCUCGGUAUGUAAACUUCUAUCAGCAGGGAAGAUAGUGACGGUACCUGACUAAGAAGCCCCGGCUAACUACGUGCCAGCAGCCGCGGUAAUACGUAGGGGGCAAGCGUUAUCCGGAUUUACUGGGUGUAAAGGGAGCGUAGACGGUGUGGCAAGUCUGAUGUGAAAGGCAUGGGCUCAACCUGUGGACUGCAUUGGAAACUGUCAUACUUGAGUGCCGGAGGGGUAAGCGGAAUUCCUAGUGUAGCGGUGAAAUGCGCAGAUAUUUGGAAGAACACCGAUGGCGAAGGCAGCUCUCUGGGCCGUCACUGACGCUGAGGCGCGAAAGCCGGGGGAGCGAACAGGAUUAGAUACCCUGGUAGUCCACGCCGUAAACCAUGAAUACUAGGUGUCGGGG